CCUACGGGGGGCUGCAGUGGGGAAUUUUGGACAAUGGGGGCAACCCUGAUCCAGCCAUGCCGCGUGCGGGAAGAAGGCCUUCGGGUUGUAAACCGCUUUUGUCAGGGAAGAAAUCUUCCGAGCUAAUACCUUGGGAGGAUGACGGUACCUGAAGAAUAAGCACCGGCUAACUACGUGCCAGCAGCCGCGGUAAUACGUAGGGUGCAAGCGUUGAUCGGAAUGAGUGGGCGUAAUUGGUGAACAGAGGUUUGAAAUCCCCGGGCUUAACCUGGGAACUGCACUUGUGACUGUACGGCUGGAGUACGGCAGAGGGGGAUGGAAUGCCGCGUGUAGCAGUGAAAUGCGUAGAUAUGCGGAGGAACACCUAUGGCGAAGGCAGUCCCCUGGGCCUGUACUGACGCUCAUGCACGAAAGCGUGGGGAGCAAACAGGAUUAGAUACCCUAGUAGUC
Molecule: ribosomal RNA, 450 nt
Filed under: uncultured bacterium
Lineage: Bacteria
Description: partial 16S ribosomal RNA
Rfam family: Bacterial small subunit ribosomal RNA
Source: RNAcentral